This 2599-nucleotide long non-coding RNA is filed under the name Homo sapiens (human). RNAcentral describes it as "HSALNT0124110". The stretch from base 1092 to 1203 matches the Rfam family "Y RNA". Lineage: Eukaryota; Metazoa; Chordata; Mammalia; Primates; Hominidae. The record is from RNAcentral.
AAAAUGGAAGCUCCUCAUCAUGGCCUAUGAAGCCCUAGGAGAGCUGACUCCUGCUGGACUCAUAUCUCCUACCACAUCCCCCCAUGUUACUUCUCUUUAUUUUUUGAGAUGGCAUCUUGCUCUGUUGCCCAGGCUGGAGUGCAAUGGUGCGAUCUUGGCUCACUGCAAACUCCACCUUCAGGGUUCAAGUGAUUCUCCUGCCCCAGCCUCCCGAGUAGCUGGGAUUACAGGCACAGGCCACCAUACCUGGCUAAUUUUUGUGUUUUUAGUAGAGAUGGGGUUUCACCAUAUUGGCCAGGCUGGUCUUGAACUCCUGAUCUCAGGUGAUCCUCCCAUCUCAGCCUCCCAAAGUGCUGGGAUUACAGGCUUGAGCCACCAUGCCCGGCCACUUCUCUCUCUUUUUUUUUUUUUUUUUUGAGACAGUCUCACUCUGUUGCCCAGGCUGGAGUGCAAUGGCACGAUCUCAGCUCAUUACAACCUCUGCCUCUCAGGUUCAAGCGAUUCUCCUACCUUAGCCUCCUGAGGAACUGGGACUGCAGGCACCUGCCACCACGCCCAGCUAAUUUUUGUAUUUUUAGUAGAUAUGUUGGCCAGGCUGGUCUCGAACUCCUGACUUCAAGUGAUCUGCCUGCCUUGGCCUCCCAAAGUGUUGGGAUUACAGGCGUGAGCCACUGCGCCCGGCACCCCCAUGUUAUUUCUCGAUCAUGCGUAGCGUGUUCCUCCCUCCAUGGUCCCUUGGAAUAUUCUUUCUCUAGAUCUUCAGGUGGCAGGCCCCUCACUUCAUUCAAGUAUCUGCUCCACUGUCAGCUCCUUUGAGAGGCCUCCCCUGAUCACUUCCUCUAAAAUUGCUCACCCUAGGGUUCAAAUGAUCCUAGGUGGGAGGACCCCUUGAGCCCAGGAGUUUGAGGCUGCAGUGAGCUAUGAUUGCCCCACUGCACUCCAGCCUGGGCGACAGAGCAAGACCUUGUCUCUUAUAAAAAUAAAUAAUAAAUAAAUAACUCAUUCCAACCACACCCAUUGUCGUUCUGUGUCCCCCUUACCCUGCGUCAUCAUCUUUUUCUUGGCAUUUGUCACUCUUUGAAGUUAUAUUGGGCUGGUCCAGAUGGAGUGAGUUAUCUCAAUUGAUUGUUCACAAGCAGUUACUGAUGGAACUGCUGGUUCUGUUCUUUUCCCACUUCUCACUACUGCAUUUGUCUAGUUAAAAAAAAAGUAUAUUAUUUAAUUUGGGCUCAAUAAAUGUGUAAAUUAAAGAAUACAGCUCUUUUUUGUUUUUGAGACAGGGUCUUUCUCUGUCACCCUGGAGCAGUGGUGUGAUCAUGGCUUAUUGCAGCCUUGAUCUCCGGGGCUCAAGCAAUCCACCUGUCUCAACCUCACGAGUAGUAGGGACUACAGAUGUAUGCCACUACACUGGGCUAAUCUUUUUAUUUUUUCUAGAGAUGGGGUCUUGCUAUGUUGCCCAGGCUGGUCACGAACUCCUUGGCUCAAGCCGUCUUCCUGCCUUGGCCUCCUGAAGUGCUGGGAUUACAGGCAUGAACCACUGUGCCCAACUUAGGAAUACAGUUCUUUAACGUAAAGAUUCUAGGCUGGGCAUGGUGGCUCACGCCUGUAAUCCCAGCACUUUGGGAGGUCAAGGCAGGUGGAUCACCUGAGGUCAGGAGUUCAAGACCAGCCUGGACAACAUGGGGAAAACCCAUCUCUACUAAAAAUACAACAAUUAGCUGGGUGUGGUGGCAUGUGCCUGUAAUCCCAGCUACUCGGGAGGCUGAGGCAGGAGAAUCACUUGAACCUGGGAGUCAGAGGUUGUGGUGAGCCAAGAUCACACCACUGCACUCUAGCCUGGGCAACAGAGCGAGACUCCAUCUCAAUAAAUAAAUAAAUAAAUAAUAAAGUAAAAAAAAAUAAAGAUUCUGAUGGCUACCUACCAUCUAGGGCAAUGCUGUCUAAUGGAAAUACAAUGUGGAUCACAAAUGUAAUUUAAAAUUUCUAGGAUCUCUCUGUUACUUCUUAAGCUUCCUAAGUAGUGAGUGUGAACAGGGUUGAGCAGUUGUGUGAAGAGAAGCAAAACCCCCAGGUGGUUGUAGCUUUUAGUUGUGGCAAAGGUGGUGAGCUCCCCUCACCGGGGCAAAAACAUUCUACUUCAUAUAAAAAGCACUGAAACAAGAGAUGUAUGACUUGGUUUUAGUCCAUUAAGUAGUUCUGUGACCUUGGGCAGAUCACGUGGGUCCAGGAUGGCAAAUCGACUUUAUUUUCUUCUAUUAAUUGAUAGUGGCUGCCUGGAGGUUGGCUGAGGACAGGAUUCUGAGACUUAGUCUGAACUUCUUGGGAAGAAUGCCUUGAUCAAUUCGUGAUGUCUAUGCUGGGCACCCCAGGAGAAUUGGGCAGGCUGUUCCAAGACUCAAUUUUCUCCCCAUUCAAAAGUGGAUAAAAAUAACAGCUCUCUCAGCCCAAUAUGGUCAUUUACGAAGCUCAAAUGGAGUAGGCUGAGAAAAUGCUUUCAAAGGCCAACACAACACUUAGAUAUUAUUAGAGAUUUGCCUUCUUAAUUGGGUCAAGGCUAAUGUAAUGGGUCUGUGUGUGUGUAUUUUCCAACAGCAGAAAA